GGUCAAGCUACUAAGAGCGUGUGUGGGGAUGCCUUGGCGCAAGCAGGCGAUGAAGGACGUGGUCAGCUACGAUAUGCCUCGGGGAGUUGCUAACAAGCUGUGAUCCGGGGAUUUCCGAAUGGGGAAACCCAGCCGGCGUGAACGCCGGCUACCGUCAUCUCAAUCAAUAGGGUGGCGGAGCGAACCCGGGGAAGUGAACCAUCUCAGUACCCGGAGGAAGAGAAAACAACCGUGAUUCCGAAAGUAGUGGCGAGCGAAAUCGGAACAGCCCAAACCAGGCGAUUCGAAAGGAGAGCAUGGUGUUGUAGGGCCGCAAAAUCAGGUGUCCGGUGGGUUAUCCCAACGGAGACCUGGUUAACGAGGGAAUCAAAGAGGUUAAUCGAACGGUCUGGAAAGGCCGGCCAUAGAAGGUGACAGCCCUGUAGAUGAAAAUGUCUUUGUACCUUCAAGCGGUUCCUGAGUACCGCGGGACACGUGGAACCCUGUGGGAAUCUGCCGGGACCAUCCGGCAAGGCUAAAUACUCGCUUGCGACCGAUAGUGAACCAGUACCGUGAGGGAAAGGUGAAAAGUACCCCUGCGAGGGGAGUGAAAUAGUACCUGAAACCGCACGCUUACAAGCAGUCGAAGGGCUAUGCCGCAAGGACAUGCCUGACGUCGUGCCUAUUGCAUAAUGAGCUGGCUAGUUAUUCUCAGUGGCAAGGUUAAGCGAAAGCGAGCCGUAGCGAAAGCGAGUCUGAAUAGGGCGAUUCAGUCGCUGGGAAUAGACGCGAAGCGGGAUGAUCUACCCUUGGCCAGGAUGAAGUCUGUGUAACAGCGGAUGGAGGUCCGAACCAGUGUUGGUUGAAAACAGCUUGGAUGAGCUGAGGGUAGGGGUGAAAGGCUAAUCAAAUUCCGUGAUAGCUCGUUCUCUCCGAAAUAGCUUUAGGGCUAGCCUCGUGUGGUCCGUCUCGGUGGUAGAGAUCUGAAUGAACUAGGGGCCUUCCCAGGUUACCGAAUUCAACCAAACUUCGAAUGCCGAGAACGUGUAGCAUGGGAGUCAGACAGUGGGGGCUAAGCUUCAUUGUCGAGAGGGAAACAGCCCAGACCAUCAACUAAGGUCCCCAAAUCUGUGCUAAGUGGGAAAGGAAGUCGAGACGCUCUGACAGCCAGGAGGUUGGCUUAGAAGCAGCCAUCCUUUAAAGAAAGCGUAAUAGCUCACUGGUCGAGCAGCUCGGUGCCGACAAUAUAACGGGGCUCAAGCACAGUACCGAAGUUAUGGAUCCGCCGCAAGGCGGAUGGUAGGAGAGCGUUCCGAACGCGAGUGAAGGUAGACGGAGACGACUACUGGACGGUUCGGAAGUGACUCUGCCAGCAUAAGUAGCGAUAAACCAGGUGAGAACCCUGGUCGCCGAAAGUCUAAGGUUUCCUGAGAAAGGUUAAUCCGCUCAGGGUUAGUCGGAUCCUAAGGCCAGGCCGAAGGGCGUAGCCGAUGGACACACGGUUAAUAUUCCGUGACUACCGAAACUCGAUCAAGACCGAUGGGGGGACGCGGCCCAAAAGCUCUGGUGCGCAAUGGUUUCAAUCCAGAGUCGAGGGAGAUCCGGAUAGGCAAAUCCGCCGGGUCGUCCGCCAGGAAAAGCCUCUAAGGAGAGUUAGGUAUCCGUACCACAAACCGACACAGGUGGACGAGAUGAGUAUUCUAAGGCGCUCGGGUGAUGGUUUGUUCAGGAACUAGGCACAUUAGCCCCGUAACUUCGGGAGAAGGGGUGCCCACGCAAGUGGGCCGCAGUGAAUAGUCUCAGGCGACUGUUUAACAAAAACACAGGUCUCUGCAAAGUCGUAAAACGACGUAUAGGGGCUGACGCCUGCCCGGUGCCGGAAGGUUAAAGGGAGAGGUUAGCCGCAAGGCGAAGCUUUGAACUGAAGCCCCGGUGAACGGCGGCCGUAACUAUAACGGUCCUAAGGUAGCGAAAUUCCUUGUCGGGUAAGUUCCGACCUGCACGAAUGGCGUAACGAUCUGAGAACUGUCUUAACAACCCGCCCGGCGAACUUGUGGUUCCGGUGAAGACGCCGGAUGCCCGCCACUAGACGGAAAGACCCCGUGCACCUUUACUAUACCCUUUCAUUGAACUAUGGGGCCAUCUGCGCAGGAUAGGUGGGAGGCUUUGAAUCCGGGUUUUCGGACUCGGAGGAGCCAACGGUGAGAUACCACCCUGAUGGUUCUGUGGUUCUAACCUACUCCCGUAAUCCGGGAGAGGGACAAUGGUAGGCGGGUAGUUUGACUGGGGCGGUCGCCUCCUAAACGGUAACGGAGGCGCUCGAAGCUUGGUUCAGGAGGUUUGGAAAUCCUCCUUCGAGUGCAAUGGCAUAAACCAGGUUAACUGCGAGACCUACAAGUCAAGCAGAUGCGAAAGCAGGCCUUAGUGAUCCGGUGGUUCUGUAUGGAAGGGCCAUCGCUCAACGGAUAAAAGGUACGCCGGGGAUAACAGGCUGAUCGGAGUCAAGAGUUCACAUCGACGCUCCGGUUUGGCACCUCGAUGUCGGUUCAUCGCAUCCUGGGGGUGUAGAAGCUCCCAAGGGUUAGGCUGUUCGCCUAUUAAAGCGGUACGUGAGCUGGGUUCAGAACGUCGCGAGACAGUUCGGUCCCUAUCUGUGGUGGGCGUAGGAGAUUUGAGGGGGCCUGCCCUUAGUACGAGAGGACCGGGGUGGACGAACCUCUUGUGAUCCAGUUGUCACACCAGUGGCACCGCUGGGUAGCGAAGUUCGGUCAGGAUAAGCGCUGAAUGCAUAUAAGCGCGAAACCUUCCCCAAGAUGAGGCUUCCCAACCGAAAGGUAACAAGGGCACAGGAAGACGACCUGUUUGAUAGGGCGGAUGUGUAAGCACAGCAAUGUGUUGAGCUAACCGCUACUAAUUGCCCGUUCGGCUUGACCAU
This 2914-nucleotide ribosomal RNA is filed under the name Bryobacterales bacterium. RNAcentral's name for it is "23S ribosomal RNA". It matches the Rfam family "Bacterial large subunit ribosomal RNA". Lineage: Bacteria; Pseudomonadati; Acidobacteriota; Terriglobia; Bryobacterales. The record is from RNAcentral.